Molecule: non-coding RNA, 291 nt
Organism: Arachis ipaensis
Lineage: Eukaryota; Viridiplantae; Streptophyta; Magnoliopsida; Fabales; Fabaceae
Source: RefSeq, a predicted model, not a curated record
UCCCCACAUGUGAAAAUUGACAUGAAGCAACAAGUAUGUGUUUUCUUUCCCUGUUUAAAUUUCUUUUCAGAGCCUUCCUUGGUACAUGACUCCUGUCUCCUAUGAUCUUGUUUCACAGGUCACAAUCUAGUGGUCUGGUCUUAUGCAAGGUGCUGUUUCUAUAGCACUUGCUUACAACCAGCUGAAGAGGCAGGAGAAUUAUUCUUACAUGGUGGUUAUAUCUACUAAUUCUUCUCCUUCCUAUAUAAGGGUUCAGAUCAAUAUUUCUUUUGGGGGUUUUAUAAAAAGCAG